This is a long non-coding RNA of Salvelinus sp. IW2-2015, 339 nucleotides long. RefSeq lists it as uncharacterized. Lineage: Eukaryota; Metazoa; Chordata; Actinopteri; Salmoniformes; Salmonidae. The record is from RefSeq and is a predicted model, not a curated record.
UUAAACUAUCUAGGAAACUACAUCCCCAACGCCUGGAACUAUGAGAGAGGCUGUGGCGUCUGUGACCACAACAUGGUGGAUUUGUCUCAGCUUAAAGAGUAUCCAACUGUUAUGGUCGGAGUGUUCAUCGAACAGCCCACUCCUUUCCUCUCUGAAUUCUUCCAGAGACUUGUGACCCUCGACUACCCCAAAGAUAAACUCAACGUCUUCGUUCAUAACAACGAGGUUUACCAUGAGAGACACAUCCAGAAGUUUUGGGAGGCGAAGUAAAGAUGUGUUUACAGCUUCAAGGUUGUGGGUCCGGAGGAGAACUUGAGCCAAGGACAGGCCAGAAACAUG